Molecule: non-coding RNA, 3009 nt
Organism: Musa acuminata subsp. malaccensis (wild Malaysian banana)
Lineage: Eukaryota; Viridiplantae; Streptophyta; Magnoliopsida; Zingiberales; Musaceae
Source: RefSeq, a predicted model, not a curated record
GUGUCCACUGGCAACGCAGGGUCGGUGCCGAAGAGAAUUCGUCGACGCAUCGCCGAAGCGGACCCCUCUCUCUCCUGCCUAAAGCCCUAGAGACGAACAUCUAUAUCGGCCCUUGGAAGAGGAAGGAGAAGUCGGGUAGAGUACUCAUCGUCAUCCUCGCCAACAUCGUCUGAGUCUCAAGAUUCCGCGGUGCGGUCGUGAGAUCGCAAGGUGAGAUGUCAGGUGAUUGCUGAUUGUGUGAUGAUAAUGGGUUCGUCGAAGACGUUCCUUGUCUCCUGUGGUAUUGAUGCUUGUCAGUGUAACCUUGAUUGACAUCGGGGAGGAGGGGUUUAGGGAACCUUGGGAUUUCAUCGAUUCAUGGCUUACGACGAGCAUUCGCAUGACGUCUGCUCUGUCUUUUGAGAUCGGCUGACAUGUAUGUUGCAAUUGCUAAAGCAGAUCCGUAUUAGCUCUGUUUCUGGCACAAUGCAGUUGUUCUCUUCCCUUUCAGUUGCUUUUUGUUCCCCUUCUAUUGUCUAUGACCACGGCGCGAUACUUAUCCGAUGCGCCUCCUCAGAUUCCGGCAUGGAAUCUUGUUCGAUCUGCUCCCGCAUUCUUCUGGCAGUCGGAAGAUGCCGCGUUACCAUCUGAGGAAGGUGAGAAAAACUAUCGAUCUUGCAAAUGCGUUAUACGUUCUCUCACCUUCAAAGUUCAUUGGAAUUUUUGGCUUUGAUUCCUUCUCCAAGUCGAUGCAAUUGCGUAAAUUCCCUCUUGCUGGCAGAGAGAGCUAGUGUGAGUAGAUCAAGGGAGCAUGAUUCUGAAGGAGUUUCCUUAUUUUUGGAUUGCCUAUCAGCAAGAGAACUGUUGCCAUCUUCUACUGUCUCCGUUUCUUCUGUUGUUUGAGACUGACUUGAUUAUUCAAACUUUUCGGUUGAUCGAAGCAUAGAGAAUUAACCUGGUCGCUCAAGAUUGUCUCUCGAUGGAGGCAGCAAAGUCAGUACUUUUGACUCUAAAAUGUCAAUUUGGCCCUCUUAAUGUCAUCACAAAUCAAGCUAUACCAUGGGGCAAGAUUAGAUUUACUAAUAAGCUAGUCCAAGGGCAUCUAGCUGUGGAAGAAAAGAAAGAGAAAACAUGUUGCUGGACUAGUACCCAAGGUUGUUCAAAACUAUUUUGUGAGAGUAGUAUAAUUUCUAUCUGUUCUGCGGGCUUCUUGAUAAGCCUGAAGUUAUUUAAUUCGUUGUGGUGCCAAUAUUAAACAAGUUGUAGAGCUGCUUCAUGUUCAUGUUAUCUAAUUCUUGGGCUGAUAUUAUCUUCUGAAGUUGCAUGAAGAUUAUGAUAGAGCUGGCCAGGAUACCGAUGAAUGGAAAGCCAGGGAGAUUGUGAAGGACAUAGCAAGCCAGGGAGUUAUUAUUUCAAUAGUUCACUGUCUCUUUUUUGCAUGAUCUUUCAAUGAUUCUCCUAGCAAUUUUUUCUAGUGCUCUUUUGAUGUGAUUUGAAUUGUUAUCAAUAUGUAGCUUUAGGGUUACCCAAUUCCAUUUCUUUUUCUCAGGUUAGAAGAACAUGAGAUGCUUAUAAUUGGCUUGGAGGAAGGCCUAUGAAAUAUUAAUAUCAUACUUGUCUGUGUCACAAUAUUCUGACUUUUUUUGCUAAAUUAAACUGAAGUAUUAUUUUAGUUGUCGGGCACCUGAUGACCUGAGUUUCUCCCUUGUUGGACUUUGAAGCUUUUGCAAAACGUUAAAUAAUUAAUAGUGUUUGAUUUACAAGGUCAUGGAUUUUAUUUAUCUUCCUAUGUUUUGUAUAAUUAUUUGAUUGGGGAACAAUGGAGUAUUCUCCUUUGAUUAGGAAGUCAAGAGGUUGCAGACGUUAAGCAAUGUCUUCAUCUUAUUGCCAUCUCCUGAAGAUGACGAAUUUCAAUAUUUUGUUAUUAUUGUUCUUUUGCUGUUUGAUUUUGUCAGAACUUGGAAGGACAAGAUUGGCUUGCAUUGAUUGCCAGCCGAUUUUGUGUUUGUUAUGGCACUGACUGGUUUAUGCUUUAUUAGUAUGACUUCGGUGGUGUUUCUAAUCUCAUCAUCUCAUGUGGGUGAAUUGAGUAAAAAGACCUUGCGGCAUGUUUAUUGUUUUGGAAGUUUUGAAUUCCAGUUUCUUCCUGUGGCUACCUCUGGAUGCAGCCGGGUGACUGAGACACUGAGUGCAGCCAUCACCGCCUGGAAAUGAAGUCUGGGCAUCAGACCUCAUCCAACCCAAGUAAUGUCUUUACAAGCACUAUAUGCCUCAUCUUGCCUCGUGUGAGAAGGCAUGUUAACUUUGAGAAGGUAAUAGAAAUGCAUUUUGACGUGCAAUUUGCUACAUUGUAACAACAUUUUGAGAAGUGGCUGACACAAACAGCACGGUAAUAAAACUAAUGACACGAGGAGUUGAGCUUGGUGAUCCCAUUAUGGUCCUUGGCGAGGUAUGUCUUCCAACCAUUAAUCUGGUCACUUGAUUUUACAGGUAGCUGCCUUGCAAUACCUUGAUGAGCAUAUGUUGCGUCUCUUUGAAUCUGCAAGAGAACUUGUACCAGUUCUUGUUUGCAACCACAAUGUAAGCUAGUUGAAUGUUUGAAGAGGAGAGCUUCUCAGCAGCACCAAGAUGCUUGAUUCAGUACGCCGCAUCAAGUUCUUUUCUCUCAAUAUAUUGGAAGCACUCAGGAAUCUUCCUCGUUUGGGUUGCAUUGCAAGAUAAGGAUUGUUCCCUUAUCCAGAUCAAUCAAAGCAGUGCAGAGAGUGUGACGUCCAAACCCGUCAUUUUAGCAAAUCAAACGAUUCAGAAAUGUGAGAAUCUUUCUCUGCAGCCUAGAGUUGUUAGUGCUGAUGCUCGACUUUCAGAUAAGAGUCAUCAUCUUGAACCUUCAUGAAGUAGCAGACAAGGUUACGUGGAAACAUGCACUUGUAGCUUGAUGCACCAACAUGGUAUAAUUCAUGCUUUAAUUAGUUGUCAGACCUACCACACUUCUAUGAUGCAGAAACAUGUCAUGAAAUUAUAGCUGUGUCC